CUUCUGCUGUGAUGAUUUCUGAAAAAAAUUCACAUGUCAGACUUCAGAGAUUUUUAAAUAGAUCCGUGAGAAGAAAUUUCAUGUUUUUUGAGCAGAUG
RNAcentral lists this small nucleolar RNA (98 nucleotides) under Olea europaea subsp. europaea. RNAcentral describes it as "Small nucleolar RNA R64/Z200 family". It matches the Rfam family "Small nucleolar RNA R64/Z200 family". Rfam says of the family: This family of plant small nucleolar RNAs belong to the C/D class of snoRNA which contain the C (UGAUGA) and D (CUGA) box motifs. This family includes Arabidopsis thaliana snoRNA R64 and Oryza sativa snoRNAs Z200 and J16. Most of the members of the box C/D family function in directing site-specific 2'-O-methylation of substrate RNAs. The record is from Rfam by way of RNAcentral. Lineage: Eukaryota; Viridiplantae; Streptophyta; Magnoliopsida; Lamiales; Oleaceae.